RNAcentral lists this long non-coding RNA (13324 nucleotides) under Homo sapiens (human). Its description in RNAcentral is "HSALNT0144453". The record is from RNAcentral. Lineage: Eukaryota; Metazoa; Chordata; Mammalia; Primates; Hominidae.
UGUCAACCAAUUAACAUUGAUAAAAGAUUUGGCAAGAAUAGUAUACAGAGGCUUGAAUUUUUAAUGUAAUUAAUGUAAUUAAAGGUUUGUUGGAAAUGUGAGACCAUUUUGUUCUCCCAGAGAAAAAGUGUGUUAAUUGUCUAGCUGGCAGGGAUCUACUUGAAUAUGUUUGCAGAGAAAAGCAGAAGAAAGCAUGGUUGCAGUAGGAGUAGUUAAAACAGAAAAACAGUAUGCUUAUAGAGGAAAAAUUACUCUAAAUUUAUUAAAAUUCCUUUAAAUUUGUUACUCAAUUUAAAUUUUUAUUGUAUCUUUUCAAUUUUGCUAUAGCACUAACAUGACAUAAGGCUCUGGGUAUUGGGACAAAAGAAUGCCCUUGUUUGGUAGUUGGGGUCGGGUUUGUAGUAUUGCAGUGUGCUUUAACAAGCAUGGGCUUUGACAUCAGACAUUUGUUGCCAUCUGGACUCCACAAGUGAAUUUGCUACGGGAUUUGGAGGAGGGAAAGGCACUGUUUCCAUACCUCAGUGGUUUUCUCAUCUGUAAAAUAAGUAUGUGAUUGCAUGGAUUGACUUACAUGAUGAAUAUAAAGUUGUUCAUUAGUACAGUACCUGUCAUAUUAAGUACUCAAUAAAUGCUAGUUAUUAUUAAUGCUGUGUUGUAGGUGUUCAGUAAAUAGUUGCCAUAAUGCUUAAAGCAGACAUAACUUGUUUUUAUUUUUGCAAUAAAGAUGAUGCCAACUUUUUGGUUUAAUGGAAAUGCUUUGAAUCUUUGAUAUUGUUGUAAUAUAGUGGCAAAGAAUUUUGAAUCCCAGCUUCUGGAGCUCAUAUCUUGAUUCUGCGAGUUACUUCGCUAUGUUACUUUGGGGGAAGUUAUUAAUCUCUCUGUGCCUCAGUUUCCUCAGUCGACUAAAUUGAAAUUAUAAUAGCACCUACCUGAUAGGAUUGUUGAGACUAAAUGAGGUAACAAUUUAAAAAUAAGCUAAUACCUGAUAAUUAGUUCUAUAUAUGUACUGAUUGGUCUAAACGUUAUUUCCAUUUUCAUGUCUUUACUUAAAAUACUGAAAAUUAAUUUUUUAUAGCUUUGUUUUUCAGUUCCAUGAAAUCAGCCUGCCUUUUCUUUUUUUGGUGAUACAUCCACAUUCUGUAUAGGUGAAAAGCAAAACAAACAAGUAUAAAACGAAAAUUAUGUAAGAAGUACACACAUCCUAGCAGCUUGGCAAGUGUCUGUAUGCUCUUGCCUGUGCCUAAAUCCAGAAUUAGAAUUCAUGCUUGGUGCUCCUGUGGAAGAUGUCUAAAUGUUAUGAGAAAUACAUGAUUAAAUAAAAAUGUGAAAUGAAAGCAUGGAGACUUGUUGAAAUAGGGGUAUCCACCAUGAUUAUAUAUGAUGGGGAGGAAAGGGAUUACUCCAUUUCUGCCCCUGCAGUCUGUAGGCAUGAUUGAUUACAUCAUUGGUCGCCGGUGAUUAACUCAGUCUCCAAGCCCUGUCGUGUCCCUGGAGGUUGGAGGGUGGCACUGAAAGCUCCAACCAUCUCAUCAUGCUUUGAUCUUUCCGAUGACCAGACCCCACCCUGAAGCUAUCUACGGGUCCCCAGCAACAUUCAUUUCGUUAUCAUACAAAUGACAUUCUUACAAUUUCAGAGAUUCCAAGGGCUUUAGGAAAUGGAGAUGAAGAGCAAAUAUAUAUUUCACAAUAUCACAAACAUACCCUUGGGAAUUAGACCUCUGAUCUAAUCUAGGCUCCCUCACUUGCCAUUUUUGUGACCUUGAACAAGUUGUUCAUCUUUUCUGGAUAGUUCUCUGUUAAAAAAAUUAAAAUAAAAAAAUGGUGGCUAUCAGGUUGUUAGGAGGACUAGAUAAGAGAACUAUGUGAAGGACCCUGCACAGUGCUAGCAACAAAGUUGUUUAGUAAGUGCUAUUUCAAUUUAUUUUGCUUCCAAGCUCAUGUGAGCUCCCUCAGUGUGUACCACCAAAUCACAUGAUGUGUAUCCCAGUCAAAUCUUAAAGGUCAUCCACCUUGAAUCUUUAAGUUAAUUAACGUGUGUUUUUAAAACUGCAUUAUAAGAACGUUAGGGUUUUUGUUUUGAUCCUAUGGAAGUUAAAUUUUUUACACAAGCAUUCAACUGUUUAGCUUCAAACUGAACAGAUAAAUAGUCUGUAUUAUUUCAUUAUGUAUUAAAAAAUGAUUAAGCCUGCCUCAGGCAGUUCAGGCAAAGCAGGUAAAAGAUUAUCAAGGAGUAACAUUAGAAAACACUAAUCAGAGUGCCUAAAAAGCUUUAUGCGGUCCAGGUUGUACAGGGAUGUUGGAACAGUAAAACAAACAAAACAUUACAAGGUAUGAAGCGUUCGAGAUAGGUAGAAUAGAGCAGGUUAUAUUAGAGAAGUCUCUUCUAAAAUUGUGUUGGCUAGCCUGGGAUUUGAACUUAUACCGUGUAUGUAUGUCCAUGUGUAACAGGUUGAACAUGCAAGAAGCAGUGUUCAUAAAAGGUGGCAAACUUGUUUUACUUGUUUCUCAGUCUUUUCAGAUCAGUACUUAUAAAACACUGAUAUUUACAGUAAAUAUCUUAUAUUAAAUAUUAGCUAACCCUAUUAAAUUGUGUGUCCUUGUGCUGCAGUCAUUUAAUGACCUCAUUCUUUGGUAAGUUGGCAUGUGAUUUGAGAUAGCUCUAAGUGCUAAUGGAUUGUUUGAAGGAGUUAAAGGCAAAACCAGGAAGAGAAAACUAUUUUUAGGAAAAAGCGAUCAUACAACAGGCCUUAAAUAGAAGAAAUGAGAUAUCUCUAUCUUUACUAUGUAACCUUUAAUUCCUUACACAUUUUGACUUCAUAUUUUUUGUAUGUAAAUGAGAAUGUUAUAGUCUUGUAAAUUCCUUUUCCUCUGUGACUACAUUCAGUUAUUUAUUUUAUUGUGUGUUUGUGCAUGUCGGUAGAGCACAGUAUUUAGUAGAAUGAGUUAUUGGUUAAACCACCUGGAUUCAUUUGUAAAAUGGGGCCACCUGUCUCUUAAAUUGUAAUGAGGAUUUGAUUAGAUAAUCUAGAUAAAUCACUUAGCACAAGAGUCUCCAGCCCCCGGACUCUUGACUGGUACUGGUCUGUGGCCUGUUAGGCACUGGGCUGCACAGCAGGAGGUGAGCAGGGAGCAAGCUAGCACUAGGGCCCAAGCUCCGCCUCCUGUCGGAUCAGUGGCAGCAUUAGAUACUCAUAGGAGCACAGACCCUGUUGUGAACUGUGCGUGUGAGGGAUCUAGGUUUCGUGCUCCUUACAAGAAUCUAAUUAAUGCCCGAUGAGUUGAGGUGGAACAGUUUCUUCCCAAAACCGUCUCAGGAAACCUGUCCCUGGUGCCAAAAUUUGGGGGACCUCUGACGUAGCACACUAUCUGGCACAUACCAAGCACUCAGAAAAUAUCCCAUUUCUCAAAACUCAGUUCCAGUGUCAAGUCUUAAUAGUAUAUUGAUCUUGGAACUCCAAGGUAGUUGGUCCUCUCUUUGUGCCAUAAAUGUGCCUUGUACUCAGUAGUGCUAAAUUGCUAUCAACUAGUGCUAAAUGUACUACUAAUUCAUCUGUGUGUCCACUUCCCUUCUUAGAUUGUGAGCCCCUUGAGGACAGAGAUGGGUUUACUCAUAUUUAUAAAUUCAUUGGCAUGAUAAAUAUUUGCUGAAAGAAUAAAAUUGUAUUCUUAUGUUUUAAGCAGGGUCCCCUCCACCUCUGAGUGGAAGAUGGUCUGGGAGCAAAGGUGACAGGUCUUCUAAAAAAUCUGGCCACAUUCUCAACCCACCACACCCCCGCUUUUUUAAACAGCUAUUUAAUUGCCAUUGUAAUCCUAAGGAUUGGAUCAAUUUUUCACUUCCCUUUUUCACACUUUUUUCCUUUUACUAAGAAAAUAAAGUAAUAAAGUGACUGCCAAAUGGAGAAAACUGUCCACUAAAUAUGAAUUAAUAAGUGCUAUUAUCAGAAAUUGUGUAAAAGCAACAUAAUGGCACUAUAAAAAGGUAUUAUCUUAGAAUCAAAAACCUUGGGUUUAUAUUAUAGCCCUGCUACUUUCUAGUCAUAUGACAGUGAUCAAGCUAUAUUACCUCUUUGGCUUGACAAAAUAGGGGUCAUCUCUAUUUCUGGCUUGUUAUGAUUGAUGUGAAAUAUUCAUACAAACUACCACUGUGCCUGGUAAGUAGAAGACACUCAAAUAUGUCUUGGAGUUACAGUUAAUACUGUAUCGUUUAAAUUUGAGAAAAACCAACUUUAAAAAAUCACAUAGAUACAGUUGUUUACUGCUAGAAAUUUUAUUUAAAUUAGUUGAUACUCUUGGUUAGGUAAUGAAAAACAAUGGUUUUAUCUCCAUUAUGCUGUGAUAGGGAAGAGUAACACAGUUCAAAUGGCAAAGGCAUACCUGACAAUUAAAAUGCAUAGUUAAAGGCUAAUACUUCCUGAACACAAGAAGACAAGUCUCUACUUGAUACUACUCUCCACAGUUAAAUCAUUGAUACUUUGUGCCAUACAGUGAAAACAGAACCAUCUAGGUGUUCACGGAUUGUAUUUUUCCUUAUGAAAGGUAGAAGGUUAGAGAAAAUUAUUCCCAAUACAAUUAAUACAAAUAAAAUUGGUUAUUAGGUGCCUUUUAAUUAGGCAGUAAGGGCAUAUGAAGCUUCAUUACCUAUGAGAAUUUUGUCAAAAUUAUUUCCCAGUUACCAUGUUUUAAAACAGCCUCUCAGAAUUCCCCACUUCUAAUUUCUCCUUUCUAUUCUACCAAUUUUACUCCAUACCUUUUUGCUAAAUAAACAUUUUCUUCCAACUCUGAGUUUGGUGUUUUUUUCAUUUGAUCUGCUCUUCAAAGUGUAUCAGCUAGUGAUUGAAUUAGGCUAUGGUGUAACAGAGAACUCUAAGACAGUAGCUUAAACAAGAUUUUUUUUUUAACCCCUGAGUCUUGCUGCCUUUUUCACAAAGACAAAGCUUUUUCAGAAACUCCCAGCUUAUGUCUCAUUUGCCACAACUGCGUAACAUGGCUAUCUUUUAGCUGUAAGAGAUGCUGAGAAACAUAGUUUUUUUGCUGGGCAUAUUGUCACUGAGCAAAAUCAAAGUUUUAUUUGGAUUAUUGUACUUACAAUUCACCUUUUAUGGCAAUUUAAGUAGUCAUUUGUCAUAGAUUGGAGGAUUUCCUGGAAGGGUGAAGAACUUCUAUAUAGGUUACUUAUUCUGACUAACAUAAAUUAUCCUACCACCACAAUCCCAUAACUCUAAACUUACAGAGAUGUCAUAGAAAACAACAAAUAUACACACAGCUAACCACAAAAGAAAAAGGAAAUCCCAGCUGCCAGAAGUGAAGAAAAAACAGCCAGAAUAGUGAACUCAGCAGCUGAAGGUACACUGACCUAGGUGGAUGAUAGUGUUGGCUGUGGGUCUCACCAAUGGACCCUGAGACUUUAACAGCAAGAGAUAUGGCCUGACUAUACAGGGAAGCUGGGACUGAGACCUACACAAAGCCAAGACCUUAGAAGGUGCUCCAGCCUCAGGAAGGAGGAUGAGCAAACUUCUACACAAUAACCCAGGGAAGCUACAAAGUUGUCUGAACCCAAGACUUUAGGGUGGAGAAAGAGGAAGGUGUCUGUGAGAAAGAGUUGAAGUUUACAUUUCAGUUUUGCUUUCAGAAUAUCCAUGCUUAGCUUAAAAAUGUGAGGCACAUUAAGUUACUGGCUUUAAUAAAGGAAUGAAUGAAAUGUACAGAAGUAUGUGUUCUCGGGGCCUCUUUUAAAGUCAUUAGGGGAAAGAAUUGGCAUAUAUUCAGACGCAUUUGAAGAAAUUAUAUAUUUUUGGAGAUGGAGUCUUGCUCUAUCGCAUGGCAUGAUCAUGGCUUACUGCAGCCUCAAUUUCCUGGGCUCAAGUGAUCCUCCCAUGUAAGCCUCCCGAGUAGGUGGGACCACAGGCAUGUACCACCUUGCCUGGCUAGUUUUUAAAAUUUUUGUAGAGAUGGAGUCUCACUGUGUUGCCCGAGCUGGUCUCGAACUCCUGGGCUCAAGUGAUCCUCCCACCUUGGCCUCCCAAAGUGUUACGAUUACAGUCAUGAGCCACCAUGCCUGGCCUGAAGGAAAAUUUUAAAACAGAAGGAAUAAGCUAGAAUGCAGCACAGAAGAGGUAGAAAAUUGAAAGUAAUUCAUGGAAGAUCCAAUAUACAUAUAUAUUUUAGGAGUUUAAGGAGAAAACAGAAGGUGUGAGGCAGUUGUGAACUAACAGAAUGUGUAGUAUACAACUCUUGGUAGAGAAAUGGUACGCACUGAAGUUUUUGAGGCGUGGGGGACAGGUAGCUUCCUUCUCUCAUGCAUACUCCUGCUGCCAAAUUACCCCCUAACGGCUACGUUAUAAUGAAAACAGUUUCAUGCCAGCUUCUGUUAUAUUAACCGAGCAAGAAAACUGAUCUUAGCAUGUUCUGCAGGCUAAAGGAAAUUGCUCUUGGCCCAUUUAGGUGCUCUAACCACCAUCUUGCCUGAAAGGUUCCUUUAAGAAGCAGAAUUCUAUUACUUUAACAAAAGGUGUGUUCAUGGCUGGACAAGAGCCUUUUAGGGGGUUAGACUAGGACAUCAUCCCAAAAUAUAAGGGCUACAGGCCAUGCUGGAUUCUUAUGGCCUCUUCUUGCAAUGGUGGUAUGUGUUACUCUGCUAUUAGUCAGUCUGAAAACCUUUAAUCUCACCAUCGGAGGCCCAUUUAAAAAAUUACUUUAGCAGGUCACUAAUAAAAAUUUCUACCAUUUAGUAUGAAAAUUAAGACAUUGUAUGUUGAUCAAGAUGCAGUCAACAAUACCUAGAAUAGCUUCCACUAGAGUAUGCAUUCUCUGAUUAGAACACUAGUUCAUCUUCCUAGUGAACUGUUCUAUCAGGAUGGUAGCAAGACUUAAGCGAUGACUUUACAUAAGUUAUGUGUACCACACUGUGUAUACUGGAGUAUUUCCAUGUAAAUUACAGACAACAGCUAUACUGGAAGCAAUAAAUGGCCAAGAAAUUUCCAGAGUUGACCAAAGACAUCAGGAAUGAUACUUGCUUCCAGAAAAAGAACCAAUGUAACAUUGGCUUAAACUGUUGUGCUUUUGCUUUUCUUUCAGAUGUAGGCUGUCCAGGUGUCCGGUACUAUAACUCCACAAGAUCAGUAGGGCCCCAGGCUUUUUCUGUUCUUUAUGAUCCACUCUCUACCAUGUAGCAUUUGUCUUCAAGAUCAAAAAAUGGUGGCUGUAGUGCUCACAUUCCAGAUAAGGAAGAAUGGGCAAGAAACAAAAGAUCCACUCCAAAUGUGAUGGCAAAAUUAAGACUUUUGAGUGAAAAAUGGAAAUUUGUCUUCAGUACAUACACACUGAAAGAAAUGUUGAAGAGAGUUCUUCAGGCAGAAGCAAAAUCAUUCCAAGGGAAAUCCUGGAAUGCAGGAAUAAAUGAAGAGCAAUGGAAAUGGUAAAUAUGUGGGUAAAUUUGAAGGAAUAUUGGCUGUAUUCUGUGGUUUAAAAUAUCUGUGGAAUUAAAAUGCACCUACAAUAACGAGACAGGAGAAGUUUGUACUGGAGUUUGUCCUCAGGUUCUAGCAUUAGGUAGGUAAAUGGUAAGAUUACUUUUUUUAGACUAUGAAGACAAGGGUGCAUGUUGUAAUCUCUUAAGCACUAAAAGGCUAAUAGAAUGUAUACCUAACAAUUUAAUGGAGACAAAAGCAUUUAAAAGAAGGCAAGAAUAGAAAAGGGACAUAAAACAAAUGGGUCAAAUUUAAAGUUGCAAAAUAGAAACCCAAAUACUUUAAAUGAGUCAUUAGUUGAAUUAAGUUUAAAAAUUUAUCAGGCUGAAAAUUCCCUACUACAUGUUGCUUACAAGAGGCAUACUUUAAAUACAAGGCCACACAAAAAGGUUGAAUGUAAAUGGCAUAGGGAAAAAAAAACACAGCAAACCAAAUAAAAACAGUUUGAAUGUGGUAUUGUCAGGCAAUGAGAUUUAAGGCAAAAAGCAUUACCAGAGAUAAAGAGGGACAUUUUAUAAUGAUGAAGGAAUUAAUUCACCCAAAACACAUAAAGAUCCUAAAUCUGUAUGUGUUGAAAACAGAUUUGAAAUACAUAAAGCACGAAUGACAUAUAAGAAGAGAAAUAGGUAAGUGUCUAACCAUAGCUGGAGGCUUAUGCAGCUUUUUCCAUAGCUGAUAGACUAUCCGGACCCUACCCCCAAAAAAUCAGAUGCAGAGGAUCUGAACUUUACAUAUAUGAAUACUUGAUUUAAAAAACAUAAUUCACAUUUUCUUCAAGUAAAUUUAUCAAAAUUUACCCUAUUUUGAGUCAUAAAGCAAACCAAUAAUCUCAAAAGAUCAAAAGCAUUCAUCUUACAUUCUCUAACACAGUGGAAUUAAACUAGAAAACAGUAAAAAAGAUGAUUAGAGAAACCCGCAACUACUCUGAAAUUAUGUAAUAGAUUUCUUGAUAGUCCCUGGGUCAAAGAAUAAAACAAAUUUAAAAAUAUUUUCAAGUGAAUAAUAUGACAUACCAAAAAGUGUGUUGCAGCUGAAGCAGUGCGUGGAGGAAAAUUUAUAGAUUUACAUGCAUACAUUAGAAAAGAAGCAAGGCUGAAAGUCAAUUACCUAAACUAUUUUCAAGUAGCUGGAAAAAGAAGAGCAACGAAAUAAUAAAAGACAAAAAGUCAGUGAAAUAACACACAAUAGAGAAAGCCAAAAUGUUGGUUCUUUGAAGUCUAAAAACAAUAAUAACCUCUACUGUUUAACAUAUUUGAGAUAUUAGCCAAUAACGUAAGGCCUGAAGUAAAAAGAUAGAACGUUUAGAAAGAAGAAAAUAAUACCAUUUAUAGACAACUGGUUGUGUGCAUAGAAAUUUGAAAAGACUCAACAAACAAAAUAACUUAUCAAGGUCACUGAAUACAAACUAUACAGAAAUUGUAUUUCUAUAUAUCAGAAACAAAUAGAAAUUGAUAAAAUGAUACCAUUUACACUAGUGUAAAAUAAAUACAAGAAAUUUUCCAAUCAUUUAAGCAUUUUUUUUUUAAUUCUAAAUAUAUGGAUAUACCAUGUUCAUGACUUGGAAGUCAAUUUUGUAAAUUAAUCUGUAACUUCAAUAUAUGAUAUUAUCAAAAUCCCAACAGUAUGUUGGAGAAAUUAACAAACUGAAGAAAUGCAAAGGACCGAGAAUAUCCAAGAUAAACUUGAGCAAUAAAACUGAAAAAUGUUCACCAACAGACAUAAGACCUGUGAUUAUAAAAGUGUAGUUGUAAUUAACACUGUUGUUGGCUGGCAUAAGGAUAGACAAAUAGACCAAAGUAACAGACUAGAGCAAAGUAGACUAGAACAAAAUAGAACAAAGUAACAGAAUUCUGUAUACGUGGUGAUCCACACAUUUAGGUCAUCUGUGAUUUAUGAGAAAGAGAAACUAUUGUAAUGGUACAGUCAAUUAGAUAGCUGUAUUGGGGAAAAAAGUAGACCCCUUCCUUGAUACCAUAUAUAUAGAAAAAUCAAUUCCAUGUGGAAUAUGGUUUAAAUGCGAAAGGAAAUAAUGAAACAGGAGAGUGUCUUCAUGUUUUGGGGUAGGCAACUAUUUAAAGGACAUAAAGCAUAAAGGAACAUUUUAAACUAAUUUGUGGUGAUAGAAUCAGGGUAGAGGUUAUCACUCGCCUGGCAAAAUUAAUCAAUAAGAAAAGAUAACUUAGCCAGACACAGUGGCUCAUGCCUGUAAUCCUAGCACUGGGAGGCUGAGGCAUGAGGAUAGCUUAAGACCAGGAGUUCAAGACUAGCCUGGGCAACAUAGUGAGACCUUGUCUCUACAAAAAUUUUAAAAAUUAACUGGGUGCAGUGGCAUGCACUUGUAGUCCCAGUUACUUGGCAGGCUGGGGCAGGAGGAUCAUCUGAGCCCAGGAGUUUGAGCCUGCAGUGAACUAUAAUUGUGUCACUACACUCCAGCCUGGGCAACAGAGCAAGACCCUGCCUGUCUAAAAUUAAAAAAAAAAAAAAAAAGCUUGAUAUCAGGAAAGAAAUAAGGCAUGAAAACGGAUAAAAUUAAAAUUAUUUGAUUUAGAAAGUGAUUGUGAAUUUAUGUGAAUAAAUUUGAAAUUUUAGAUAUUUUUUGAUUAGUGUUGCCAAAUAUGUAUUAGUAAAUAAGUCUCAAUCUGUUUUUUAAAAUCUACUCUGAAUAAUGCACAAGCUCUGGAUGAUUUAUUAAAAUACAUUCAUUGUGACCAAGUAAGGAUUAUUUCCAUAUGGGAGAAUGAUUUAACACUGUAAAAUCUUUUCACAUAGUAUAUACCAUGUUAAUAGGUUAAAGAGAAAAGGCAUGUUACUAUCUCAGUGAAUGCAGGGAGUUGGAGGGGGAGAACCAGCAAAAUGCAAGUUAUAUUCACUUAGGAUUUUAAAAAUAAAACAUCCUCUUAAUAGAUGAAUAAACGUAUUAGUACGAUAAAUGAUAGCUUACCAAAACCCAUAGUUAUUGUUACAAGUUAAUGGUACAACUUUAGAGAUGUUCCUUAAUGUCAGCAAUAGUACAGGAAUGGGAUAUUGUAUUAAUACAUCUGUUCCAUGUUGCACUGGAGAUCUUGGCCAGUGCAGUGAGACUAGAAGAAUAAAUAAUAGGCAUAAAGACUGGAAAGAGAGAAUCAAUUAUUGUUAAUGGGCAAGAUCAUUGUUUAUUUGAAAGUCCAAGGAAAACUACAAAGUAGCAAAACUAAUGUGAGUGUUGAGAGAUUUUGGAUAUAAGAGCAAUCUGCAAGAAUUAGUAGUGUUCUUUUCCACUUCAGUGUGUUUGAAAGUGUAUUAUUUGAAAGAAUUUCAUUCACAAUUAAAACUCUAAGGGGACCUAAUAAUACAUCCAAUAAAAAUAUGCAAGAUUUUGUAGAAGUAGACUAAAAUGAAUGGAGCAGUAUUCUAUGUUAGAGAAUGGGAAAAAUCAGUGCAUUAAAGUACCAGUUCUCUCCAAAUCUAUAAAUUCACUGAAGUUCCAAUCAAAUUCUCAACAAAACUUUUUAUGGAAUUUAAUCAACCUAACCUGAAUGUGGAAAGACAAAGCUGAGAUUUUUUUUUUUUAAACAGGAAAAAUAGGGGAGUACCUAUCAUAAAAGACAGUAGGGCUUAUAAAACUAUAGUGAUAACACAGCCCUUGUGAUGCCAGGAUAGACAUGUAAAUCUAUGGUACAGAAACAGAUACAUGAGAACUUGAUACGUGACACAGUGGAGAAAUUAGUAACUUUUCAAUAAAUGGCACUAGGACAAUUGCAUGUCUGUAUGUGAAAAAAUUAUAUACCCUUCUCACACCAUAUUUUUAAAAACUGGUAGAUUAAAGACCUAAAUGUGGCGGAGGGGGGAGGGGGCGGGAAUACCAUUUUAAAUAUUUUAGAAGGUAAUACAGGAAAAUUUGAACCAAUGUAAGGAAGGAGUUGUUGGAUGUGACUCAAAGUGGGAACCAUGAAGAAAAAGAGUCACACAUCUGACUAUAUUAAAACUAGAAACUUAAGUAUGACAAAAGACACUGAAUAUUAGAGGGCCAGCCACAGACGUGGAAGGUACUUACCUUGCAAUUAUCUACCAGGAACUGACAAAGGAAGUGUCCAAAUUACAUAAAGGACUACUUAAGGGGGGAAUAAAUGAGUGAUAUAUGAGAGAGAACCAAAAGGUCAAUUAACAGAAAAAUGUUUUAGCUCACUAGGAGUCAAGGAAAUGCCAGUCAGCACAGUUAGAUACCAUUUCACAUCCAGUCAGAUAAUAUCAGGGAUUGGCAAACAUGUUGAGAAAAUAAUUCAUACUUUAGUAAAGUUGAAAUUACAUAUUGCUUAUAACAGCAGUUCAACAUCUGUCUUUUUAUAAGACUAAAGUUUUGCAUCAUAUUUAGGUACAGAAAUUGUCAGAACACUUAAAGCUUGUAGGCAUUUGUUGCUGGGAGAAGACUGAAUUGCUUUUUUCAAAAACUGGAAAUCACAUUGAUGUGUUGUAAAAGAGAACCUUAGAUUUAGAGAGGGAAAAAAAACUACAGUAUUUUGUUAAAUUUAUCUACAUUUAAAGAUACUAAUAAAUGCAGUUUAUGAACUACCAGUCUCCUAUAUUGGUCAUAUUUUGACAAGUAAAGCUUUUUUUUUCAUAACGUCAAUAUUCACACAGAGGUUACAGUUCAGAUUAGGAGAACAUAUGUAUGAUAAAACAAUUAGACUAAAAAGGUCCUUUCUUUUUAUAUGAAAUGGCAGAAAAGCAACAGCAGUUUAUUGCUUAUGACAGAAUACAUAUGAUACUCGAAUAUUUCUUGAGAUCUUUGCUUAAAUCUAGUAUCUAUACAAAAUUUUUAUGUUCGCUAGAUUGUAAAUUCAGUUUUCUUACUAAGAAAGACUGAAAUUUAUUAAUAAUUUUGGGGUUCUAGUGAUUAGCAUUAGAGACUGAUUUGCUUUUAAAGAGAAUCGCAUAUUUUAUAUAUUUCCAAUUUUACAUACUUCUGAAAGAACAUAACUUUGUCAUUAAUAUAUGGCAUAUGUAUACAAUGAAAAAUGUACAAGGAUGUUUCUUACAGCAGUUAUUGAAAUAGCAGGAAGAAAAAGGUAACUUAAAAGACACUUAGCACUAGAGUCUCCAGUCACAUCUACUCCCUGGCCCAUGAACUAAGAACGUUUUUAACGUGUGUAUGAAAGGAGUGACUUAAUAGAUCUGGCGUGUUGAAACCUGCACCUUUCAAAGAAAGGUCUAGCCCUCAACUUGCUCCUGGGAGAUCACAGCGCUAAGCCCCUGGAAUAUCCUGCCUGAUGCAAGGCCUUUGUUUACCUGGGGCCUUGGAUCACACCAGAUAGUUUAUGCUACAGAUUUAUGGUGAGGGCAUUGCACCUUGCAGUAUCAAUUUAAUCGCCGGGGGAGGUGGAAACUGAAUAACAUCUGCCAUUUCUGUUCUCCAUGCCUAUGUGACUAACACCCAAUAAAAACCUUGGACACCAAGUCUCAGCUUCCCUGGUUGAUAAUAUUUCAUAAAUGACCCACACUCAUUCAGAGAGGAUUAAGUGCUGUGCAUGCAUCUCCUGUCAGAUGGGACAACUGGAAGCCUGUCCUGCUCUCUUCUGAACUCUUUCCUAUCUGCCUUUUAAAACUGUACUGAUUUUAAACUGUACUUUUGCUCUAAUAAACUAAUUGUCAACGUAACUUUUCUGAGUUCUGUGAGUCAUUGAACUGGACAGUGGUCUUGGGGACCCUGCCAUAACUGUUUAAAGAACUGUUUUUUAAAAAUAAUAUUUGAUAGAGACUGUAUGUUCUGCAAAUCCUAAAAUAUUUGCUAUUUGGUCACUUACAGCAACAGUCCCCAACCUUUUUGGCACCAGGAACCGGUUUUGUGGAAGACAGUUUUUCCAUGGACAGGGGUAAGGGGG